Molecule: non-coding RNA, 1596 nt
Organism: Dermacentor andersoni
Lineage: Eukaryota; Metazoa; Arthropoda; Arachnida; Ixodida; Ixodidae
Source: RefSeq, a predicted model, not a curated record
UUCUACAUGCGGAGCGGCGUUUUUAUUUGCAGGUUUCCCUUCAGUAGGAAAUUGCUGGACAGGCGGACCAGCGCACCGGAAUUGUACUGGCGAAGCCACAAGCAACUCAAAGAAUCUGUUUAAUUGUUGCACUUUGAACAAUCAUGCUCCUACAAAGGCCACAGCAGAAAAACAGCCUGAUGCCGAGUAUUUCUGUGCCACGAAGUAAUCAAGAGGCGAGUGCCUAAUGCGGACGAAAUCGAGUGCAUCGAGACUUAGAACGACAGAAAGCUGAGCUAGUUGAUAUGCAAUGGCAAGCCCUUCCGUGUGUUCCAAAGGUAAAAUUUAAGCUCGAAAUUAAAGAAGACAUUUCUAGUCAGAAACAAGCAAAAAUGGUGAAUGCAGAGUAUCAGAAGCCCAAGGUACAGAAAUUAUGAGAAGUGUCGAAUGAUUUUAAGGAAAGAAUGGUAUUUGAAGAUGCAAGAUUUUUUAGUGGAAAUCAAGCAAGUCAGUAUAGGUAGAAUACUCUGAGAAAUUAUGCGAGUAAUGGGAUAGCACACAAUGGGUCAGGAAAUGCGUUGUUUUUCUGAAAAACUAAAGCUGAUGACUGUCAUAUCAUGAGUCACUUUAGCAUCAUGAGACUGCUGUUUGAUAAAUUCAGAAACAAACCAAAAAGCAAGCCAUGCAAAAAUAAAAAAAAAACUAUUUAAUGAUGCUCUCUCCACACUGGGAUAAAUAAUAAGAAACGGAUCACGUCUAAUGUCAUAUCAGACACCUUGUGAAACACUAAAGGAAAAAUUCAGUUUCGAGCUAUGGCACUUGCCGCAUAGUAAUAGUUAGUUGUAAUAGUUAGUAAUAGUUAGUAAUAGUUAGUUAGUAAUAAUAGUUGCACCAAUAGUAAUAGUUACCACUGCAUCUAGAAAUUUAAAGCAUUCAUGCAGACAAGGAUGAUUCUUUAUAUUUUUGGCUACCACUUCAAAUGCCUCCACUAAGUGUUACAAUGCUGCACGCAGCCAUACUAAGGAUCUCACAGCAACACUUGCAGGUAAACAGCAAAAGCAGUCAAAGUGCUGGUGUAUUCUGGACACUGUCUUUGAAAACUUUUAGGCAAGAACAGUGCAAGAAACAGACAUAAGAACUGCAUUUAUUUCUAUAAUUCCCCAUUUGAAUGGCCUUUUUUUUUUCCUUCGACAAUGCCUUUGCCUAGCCACAGCAGCUCCCUCAUACAGACUCCGCAAGCCAAGAGGCCGUGGAGGCAAAUGCAGACAGCCAGCACACCUCGAACAGCCACCUUGACUGCGGGUGUGUCACCCUAGUCGCCAAGGAAACAUUUGAGGGAAAGCGACAGGCAAUGUAAACGAUACUCUUUCUCUCGGAUGACUCCUACGUUCGCCACGCCAGCACACUUGUGCACAAAGAUGCCGCGGAGGCACGUGCAGGUCAGAGGCAAGAAGCAGUGGCACUGGUGUCGACAUUCGCCCAAAUUCUUUUUCUUACACUGAGGCAGCCAGCACACCUCGAACAGCCACCUUAACUGCGGGUGUGUUAGUAGAUUCCUGUUGUACAUAUGCUCAUAAUAAACUUCAGUAAACUUGAAUAAACUUCAGUAAACUUGAA